UACGUAGGGUGCGAGCGUUAAUCGGAAUUACUGGGCGUAAAGCGUGCGCAGGCGGUUUGUUAAGACAGAAUGUGAAAUCCCCGGGCUUAACCUGGGAACUGCAUUUGUGACUGGCAAGCUAGAGUAUGGCAGAGGGGGGUAGAAUUCCACGUGUAGCAGUGAAAUGCGUAGAGAUGUGGAGGAAUACCGAUGGCGAAGGCAGCCCCCUGGGCCAAUACUGACGCUCAUGCACGAAAGCGUGGGGAGCAAACAGGAUUACGAAACCCGAG
RNAcentral lists this ribosomal RNA (269 nucleotides) under uncultured bacterium. RNAcentral's name for it is "partial 16S ribosomal RNA". It matches the Rfam family "Bacterial small subunit ribosomal RNA", at positions 524 to 791 of the family's 1533-position model. The record is from RNAcentral.